GGAGAGCUGACCGAGUGGUCGAAGGUGCUUGACUCGAAAUCAAGUGUGUCCGCAAGGGCACCGUGGGUUCGAAUCCCACGCUCUCCGCCA
Molecule: transfer RNA, 90 nt
Filed under: Myxococcales bacterium
Lineage: Bacteria; Pseudomonadati; Myxococcota; Myxococcia; Myxococcales
Description: tRNA-Ser
Rfam family: tRNA
About the family: Transfer RNA (tRNA) molecules are approximately 80 nucleotides in length.
Source: RNAcentral